CCUGACUGUCUUAUCUUCAGUCUCUGAGACCUCCUUAAAGAGCUCCUCAGAAUAGCAAGAGACCUCAUCACAUUUGCAAAUGUCAGCCCAUUCGAACCACUGCAAGAAAAGAAUGAGAAAUUUUAACUCCCCUAAAUGAGAGUUCCUCUCAGUGGUCUGGCUUCAGAGAUCACUAUAUUCGAUGGCCUUAAAUGAUUUAGGAGUUAUUCAACUGUCAGUUCUGAUGGACUGAUUUGGUGUCAGGAGAGGAGUUAUUUGCACGUUAAGAGCAUUCUUCUAUAUUCAAGAUCAGCAGAAAGAUGAUCCUCUGUCCUAAGAGUUCCAGGAAAAGCUGUGGAAUUGAAUCUUUUAGAAAUGGUUUGUGUCAGGCACUCCUUCCUUCUUGGCCGGCAGAUAGACAUGCUUAACGCCUAGGCUGGAGUUCCAUGCCCCUCCUGAAGCCUAGCUAUAUGGGGGAAUAAGCCAAUUUGAACUACCUGGACUAAAAGGUAGAGGGGAA
This 499-nucleotide long non-coding RNA is filed under the name Homo sapiens (human). RNAcentral's name for it is "HSALNT0069267". The record is from RNAcentral. Lineage: Eukaryota; Metazoa; Chordata; Mammalia; Primates; Hominidae.